Molecule: ribosomal RNA, 468 nt
Filed under: uncultured bacterium
Lineage: Bacteria
Description: partial 16S ribosomal RNA
Rfam family: Bacterial small subunit ribosomal RNA
Source: RNAcentral
GACGAACGCUGGCGGCGUGCUUAACACAUGCAAGUCGAACGGAAAGGCCCUGCUUUUGUGGGGUGCUCGAGUGGCGAACGGGUGAGUAACACGUGAGUAGCCUGCCCUUGACUUUGGGAUAACUUCAGGAAACUGGGGCUAAUACCGGAUAGGAGCUCCUGCUGCAUGGUGGGGGUUGGAAAGUUUCGGCGGUUGGGGAUGGACUCGCGGCUUAUCAGCUUGUUGGUGGGGUAGUGGCUUACCAAGGCUUUGACGGGUAGCCGGCCUGAGAGGGUGACCGGCCACAUUGGGACUGAGAUACGGCCCAGACUCCUACGGGAGGCAGCAGUGGGGAAUAUUGCACAAUGGGCGGAAGCCUGAUGCAGCAACGCCGCGUACGGGAUGACGGCCUUCGGGUUGUAAACCGCUUUCGCCUGUGACGAAGCGUGAGUGACGGUAAUGGGUAAAGAAGCACCGGCUAACUACGUG